Molecule: ribosomal RNA, 497 nt
Filed under: uncultured bacterium
Lineage: Bacteria
Description: partial 16S ribosomal RNA
Rfam family: Bacterial small subunit ribosomal RNA
Source: RNAcentral
GAUGAACGCUGGCGGCGUGCCUAAUACAUGCAAGUCGAGCGAACAGACGAGGAGCUUGCUCCUCUGACGUUAGCGGCGGACGGGUGAGUAACACGUGGAUAACCUACCUAUAAGACUGGGAUAACUUCGGGAAACCGGAGCUAAUACCGGAUAAUAUAUUGAACCGCAUGGUUCAAUAGUGAAAGACGGUUUUGCUGUCACUUAUAGAUGGAUCCGCGCCGCAUUAGCUAGUUGGUAAGGUAACGGCUUACCAAGGCAACGAUGCGUAGCCGACCUGAGAGGGUGAGCGGCAACAGUGGAACUGAGACACGCUCCGGACACCUACGGGAGGCACCAGUAGGGAUGCUUCCAACAUGGGCGAAAGCCUGAAGGAGCAACGCCGCGUGAGUGAUGAAGGUCUUCGGAUCGUAAAACUCUGUUAUUAGCGAAGAACAAAUGUGUAAGUAACUAUGCACGUCUUGACGGUACCUAAUCAGAAAGCCACGGCUAACUACGUG